GAAAACGUGCCCGAAAGAUAGGGUUCUCCUUGAUAGGGAGACUAAUAGGGGUUCAAAUCCCCUCGUUUUCU
Molecule: transfer RNA, 71 nt
Filed under: Nanorana taihangnica (Taihangshan swelled-vented frog)
Lineage: Eukaryota; Metazoa; Chordata; Amphibia; Anura; Dicroglossidae
Description: tRNA-Ile
Rfam family: tRNA
About the family: Transfer RNA (tRNA) molecules are approximately 80 nucleotides in length.
Source: RNAcentral